AUUUUAAUGAAAAAAAAAAAACAGAAGUUCAAUCCCAAAAAAGGGUCUAAGGGAGUUUUGGGUCUCAAGCAAACCCAGUGUUUUCUUCUUUUCCUUUGCCAACUACUAUUCUUUGUUCUUUUUUCCUUGUGUUUUCUUGCCCAUGACGGGAGCAUAUAACAGUCCAUUUCUACAACUCAGUCUAAUACUCGUGUGCUUGUUGAAUAAGAUCUGCUAUGAAGGUCUGGAACCUAAAUGUGGGUUUAAAUGAAAGCAAAGAAAUAUUUCACAGUAAAUCCUCAUAAUUAGUCGCCUACUUACUCAUCCAUAGUACAUUAAAUCAUUAUUGGUACAAGAUGGUUCCAAAACUCAAUGUAGUCCAAUGCCAAAAUCAAAUCCGA
Molecule: long non-coding RNA, 380 nt
Organism: Ipomoea nil (Japanese morning glory)
Lineage: Eukaryota; Viridiplantae; Streptophyta; Magnoliopsida; Solanales; Convolvulaceae
Exons: 3
Source: RefSeq, a predicted model, not a curated record